Molecule: ribosomal RNA, 386 nt
Filed under: uncultured bacterium
Lineage: Bacteria
Description: bacterial SSU rRNA
Rfam family: Bacterial small subunit ribosomal RNA
Source: RNAcentral
AUGGGGGCAACCCUGAUGCAGCGACGCCGCGUGAGCGAUGAAGCCCUUCGGGGCGUAAAGCUCUUUCGACCGGAACGAUAAUGACGGUACCGGGAGAAGAAGCUGCGGCUAACUACGUGCCAGCAGCCGCGGUAAUACGUAGGCGGCAAGCGUUGUUCGGAGUUACUGGGCGUAAAGAGUGCGUAGGCGGUUUUCUAAGUUCGGUGUGAAAUCUCCCGGCUUAACUGGGAGGGUGCGCCGAAGACUGGGAAGCUGGAGUGUUGGAAAGGCAGGCGGAAUUCCUGGUGUAGCGGGGAAAUGCGUAUAUAUCAGGAGUAACACCGGCGGUGUAGACGGCUUGCUAGACCAUAACUGACGCUGAGGCACGAAAGCGUGUGUAGCAAACA